AUGCUAGCUGGACCGUCCAGUCGAAGCCCUCUCUGUUAUCAAAUAGCCCCAGAGAGCCCAAAUCCGACGCGCUUCCCACAGUGCCGCCCUCCUUCAGCCAGUUGUCGCGGAUUCUCUUCUGGUGUUUGGGAAGCCGGAGCGCCAUCUUUACUCUUUAGAGUGAUUUUGCCUUUGGAUUCCCAUCCAGCGCUUGCUUUUCUCCUUCCCCCCCCCCCCGCCACGCCGCUCAGGUCCAGGUCGCAGACGGUGAGGUUGGCGGGCGGCCGCGAGCGGGUGGCCCGCAGCAGCAGCGCCGGCAGCGCCAGCACCGCGGCCAGCAGCCAGAGCGCGCCCGGCGCCGCCGCGGCCCACGGCCCGGGGUUGGGGCUGGGGCUGGGCCCGGGCCCGCCGCGACGGGCGCACGGGCGACCCGGGCUCAGGGAGCGGCCCACGGCCACAUAGCGCUCGAAGCUGAGGCCCGCCAGGCAGAAGGCGCUGGCGAACAUGGCGAGCAGCACCACGUAACUGCUGCCCUUGCAUAGCGCCGCGCCGAAGGGCCAGUGGAAACGCAGCGCCGUGUACGCGGCCCACAGCGGCAGCGGCGCCACCAGCGCCAGGUCGGCCAGCGCCAGGUGGCCCACGUAGGCGGCCGAGGCGCGCCGUCGGCCGGCGCCCCCCGGCGCCCCCCACACCGUGGCCAGCACCGCGCCGUUGGCCGCCAGGCCCAGCAAGAACACCAGGCUGUAGAGCAGCGGCAGCAGCCAGAAGGACAGCUCCCAGUCCUCCGCCUCCUCCCCGCCACCGCCGCCGCACGCCGGCCCGCCCGAGCCGUUGUAGUAGUCGUAGUAGUAGUAGUAGUCUUCGUCA
RNAcentral lists this long non-coding RNA (846 nucleotides) under Monodelphis domestica (gray short-tailed opossum). Its description in RNAcentral is "lncRNA (ENSMODG00000042227.1)". Lineage: Eukaryota; Metazoa; Chordata; Mammalia; Didelphimorphia; Didelphidae. The record is from RNAcentral.